This 254-nucleotide ribosomal RNA is filed under the name uncultured bacterium. RNAcentral's name for it is "partial 16S ribosomal RNA". It matches the Rfam family "Bacterial small subunit ribosomal RNA", at positions 524 to 776 of the family's 1533-position model. The record is from RNAcentral.
UACGGGGGAUGCAAGCGUUAUCCGGAUUUAUUGGGUUUAAAGGGUGCGUAGGCUGUGAGGUAAGUCAGCGGUGAAAUGCCCCCGCUCAACGGGGUGAAGUGCCAUUGAUACUGCCUUGCUGGAAUGCGGAUGCCGUGGGAGGAAUGUGUGGUGUAGCGGUGAAAUGCAUAGAUAUCACACAGAACACCGAUUGCGAAGGCAUCUCACGAAUCCGCGAUUGACGCUGAGGCACGAAAGCGUGGGUAUCAAACAGG